CAGAUGUCUGCCAGAGAGUGGGGAAGAGAAGGGACCGGCACAGGGCCCCCCUCCAUCCCCUACCUAUUAGUGAAGAUCCGUUUGGCAGAAUAGCUGUUGAUAGUUGCUACAGAACCUCGGGCCAAUCGCACGUCCCCUUGACGGCGACUUUGCAAUCGGAUGUUUGCCCUAUCAACUUUUGAUGCCACUUUCUGCGCGUAUCAUGGUGACCACGGGUAACUGGGAAUCAGGGUUCGAUUCAGAGAGGGAGCCUGAGAAAUGGCUACCACAUCCAAGGAAGGCAGCAGGUUCGCAAAUUAACCACUCCCAACACGGGGAGGUAGUGA
Pelobates cultripes (western spadefoot toad) is the source of this 326-nucleotide non-coding RNA. NCBI's taxonomy places the organism in Eukaryota, Metazoa, Chordata, Amphibia, Anura, Pelobatidae. The record is from the annotation of a GenBank genome assembly.